RNAcentral lists this ribosomal RNA (326 nucleotides) under Lomentospora prolificans. RNAcentral describes it as "Scedosporium prolificans Eukaryotic small subunit ribosomal RNA". It matches the Rfam family "Eukaryotic small subunit ribosomal RNA", at positions 378 to 703 of the family's 1831-position model. The record is from Rfam by way of RNAcentral. Lineage: Eukaryota; Fungi; Ascomycota; Sordariomycetes; Microascales; Microascaceae.
CUACCCCGGAGAAGGAGCCUGGGAAACUGCGACUACAUCCAAGGAAGGCAGCAGGCGCGCGAAUUACCCAAUGCCGACACGGGGAGGGAGUGACAAUAAAUACUGAUACAGGGCUCUUUUGGGUCUUGUAAUCGGAAUGAGUACAAUUUAAAUCCCUUAACGAGGAACAAUUGGAGGGCAAGUCUGGUGCCAGCAGCCGCGGUAAUUCCAGCUCCAAUAGCGUAUAUUAAAGUUGUUGUGGUUAAAAAGCUCGUAGUUGAACCUUGGGCCUGGCUGGCCGGUCCCCCUCACCGGGUGCACUGAUCCAGCCGGGCCUUUCCCUCUGU